GAUGAACGCUAGCGGCAGGCCUAACACACGCAAGUCGAGGGGCAGCACAGAAACGGCAAUGUUUUGGUGGCGACCGGCGGACGGGUGCGUAACGCGUAUGCAACCUACCUUUAACAGGGGGAUAACGGAGAGAAAUUUCCACUAAUACCCCAUAACAUCGAUCAAGGCAUCUUGAUUGGUUGAAAACUCCGGUGGUUAAAGAUGGGCAUGCGUUGUAUUAGGUAGUUGGUGAGGUAAUGGCUCACCAAGCCUACGAUACAUAGGGGGACUGAGAGGUUAGCCCCCCACACUGGUACUGAGACACGGACCAGACUCCUACGGGAGGCAGCAGUGAGGAAUAUUGGUCAAUGGGGCAACCCUGAACCAGCCAUGCCGCGUGCAGGAAGACGGCUCUAUGAGUUGUAGACUGCUUUUAAACAGGGAUAAAGCACAGUAUGUAUACUGUGUUGAAGGUACUGUAAGAAUAAGGAUCGGCUAACUCCGUGCCAGCCGCCGCGGUAA
RNAcentral lists this ribosomal RNA (501 nucleotides) under uncultured bacterium. RNAcentral describes it as "partial 16S ribosomal RNA". It matches the Rfam family "Bacterial small subunit ribosomal RNA", at positions 28 to 523 of the family's 1533-position model. The record is from RNAcentral.